This 1086-nucleotide ribosomal RNA is filed under the name Triticum aestivum (bread wheat). Its description in RNAcentral is "partial small subunit ribosomal RNA". Lineage: Eukaryota; Viridiplantae; Streptophyta; Magnoliopsida; Poales; Poaceae. The record is from RNAcentral.
AUGGCAAAUCUCCUGUUUCCAGUAGUGCCAGACCAUAGAGCCACUGUCCAUGAAACAAUUGCUACAUCCUCCUGCCAUCUUGUUUGCCUACAGGAAACAAAGCUUCAAGUCAUUGACAGUUUCAUUGCUACAUACCUUGGUGGUUAUCGAUUGAAGAAUUUCGCCUACAAACCUGCUGAUGGAACAAAAGGAGGCAUAUUACUCCUAUGGGAUGAUAACGUGGUGAACAUGUCCAAUGUCCAGAUUGGAUCAUAUUUUCCUUCCAAAGAUGUUGUUGUCAAGAAUUCUACGGAGAGCAAUAACUUCAAGCUUACCACUGUAUAUGGGCUAACUAGAAUCAUUCACAAAGGCGCCUUUUUUCUCGAGCUAUCCUCCCAGAAACCGUUGCCAGGGACAAAAUGGCUGGUUAAUGGGGACUUCAACCAGAUUUACCGGGCCAGAGAUAAAAACCGCUCUAAUGUUGAUUGUAGCAGAUUAGUUUGCUUCCGCAACACUCUUACCUCCUGCGAGCUCAAGGAGACCCCCCUCCAGAACCGGAAGUUUACUUGGAGUAACGAGAGAAACAAUCCGACACUUAGCAAACUUGACAGUUUUUUUUGCAAUGAGGAUUAGGACAUUGAAUUCGCCAACCACAUACUUCAUGCCGUGUCCUCCUCGCUCUCAGAUCAUUGUCCAUUGUUGCUCGCUUGCGCGGAUGGCCCCAAGAAACCCAGGUCCUUUAGGUUUGAGAACCAUUGGACUAGGAUGCCAAGCUUCCAAAAGACGGUCAACGACGCUUGGAACGAAGAUUUGAGUCACCAAGAUCCCUACCAGAGACUUUUUUACAAGCUAAAAUCUACUAGUCGACGAUUACGUUCCUGGAGCAAAACACUCUUCGCCAAAUCUAAGGUCCAGCUACACAUGGCCCUUGAGGUUAUUCUCCAUCUCAAUAUGGCCUAGGAACAAAGAGAGUUAUCCCAACAGGAAAUUGAUCUUCGGAAACGGCUCAAGAGGAAGAUUAUCACAUGGGCUGUGCUUGAGAAGUCCAGAAAGAGGCAAAACUCAAGAAUCACCAAUUUGAAGGACGGCGAUGCUAACACCCGCUAG